This 373-nucleotide small RNA is filed under the name Histoplasma capsulatum var. duboisii H88. RNAcentral describes it as "Histoplasma capsulatum H88 hypothetical RNA". Lineage: Eukaryota; Fungi; Ascomycota; Eurotiomycetes; Onygenales; Ajellomycetaceae. The record is from RNAcentral.
CCUGGUAGCACCUUGGCGUGGGGACCCAAGGUGCGUGGGUUCGAAACCCGCAGGGGAACACCAAAUCCGGAGCCACUUUUCAGCUCCUUAAAUAAGGGAAUGUGAACUUGCCAAGUAGGUACCUUCGGGCGGACCUACUACCUGAUUUAGCUGAUUUUUCCUGGGCUGGGAACCUGUAUUGCAUGUACCAAUCCUGUCUCUCAUUUGAUUUUCCUAUGUUUACUAGUUAUAUCUUGGCACAUUUUCAACACUAGCAUUCCUCCUGUAUAACCAACUCUUGCCUGUAUUUAACAUCACACAAGGACUCAUCAUAAGCACCGCUUGCAUAUGAGUAUAAGGAAGAAUAAUAAUAAUAAUAAUAUGUAUUUACUAG